Molecule: unclassified non-coding RNA, 378 nt
Filed under: plant metagenome
Description: partial contains 5.8S ribosomal RNA, internal transcribed spacer 2, and large subunit ribosomal RNA
Rfam family: 5.8S ribosomal RNA (bases 1-105)
Source: RNAcentral
GAAAUGCGAUAAGUAAUGUGAAUUGCAGAAUUCAGUGAAUCACCGAAUCUUUGAACGCACCUUGCGCUCCUUGGUAUUCCUUGGAGCAUGCCUGUUUGAGUAUCAUGAAAUCUUCAAAGUAAAUCUUUUGUUAACUCAAUUGGUUUCUACUUUGGUAUUGGAGGUCUUUGCAGCUUCACACCUGCUCCUCUUUGUUCAUUAGCUGGAUCUCAGUGUUAUGCUUGGUUCCACUCGGCGUGAUAAGUUAUCUAUCGCUGAGGACACUGUAAAAGGUGGCCAAGGUAAAUGCAGAUGAACCGCUUCUAAUAGUCCAUUGACUUGGACAAUACUUUUAUGAUCUGAUCUCAAAUCAGGUAGGACUACCCGCUGAACUUAAGA